Molecule: long non-coding RNA, 1963 nt
Organism: Acinonyx jubatus (cheetah)
Lineage: Eukaryota; Metazoa; Chordata; Mammalia; Carnivora; Felidae
Exons: 3
Source: RefSeq, a predicted model, not a curated record
UGUGAGGAACAUAGGAAUGAAACUAAUCUCAGGUGCUGGGCUUGGGACUGACAUCCCACAAUUCUCUAGCUACAGGUGACCUUUGAGACGACCCAGGCCAAUCCCUGCAUUUGACUGAUAAGAAAUGGAAGCCUGGCCACUGGGUCCACAUCACCCCACAAGUUAGUGAAAAACCAAGAGCAACUAUCUUCCACCUCCCCAGAGUCUGAAGGAUUAACUGGAAGACACUUCCUCCCUGAAGCUUCCCAGGUCAUCCCUGCCCAUGGAGAUCUCUCCUUCCUGUGAAUUAUUCAUCUUGCCUGUCUCUGCCAUUCAUUUGGCUUUUUAAAUGACCUCUACUCCCUUCCAGACCAGCAAAAGUCCAAACAUUUGACAGUAUAUUCUAUUGGUGAGUAUCUGGGGAAACAGUCACUCUCCAACAUUGUUGAUGGGAAUUCAAAAUUAUACAAUCUCUGUGGAGAAGAGUUUUGUAUGUCCAGCAAACAUGCAUGAGCCUUUUCCCUUCAACCCAGAAAUCAUAGUUCUAGGAGCCUACCCCAAAUAUAACUACCAAAAUUGUGAAAUGACGUAUGUUCACAGUUAUUCACUGCAGCACUAUCUGUAAUAGCAAAGACAGAACAAUUCGAACGCCCAUCAGUAGGGGACCCGUUGACUACAUCCCGAAAUAUGCACACAAGAAGUGCUCCUCCACUGUAAAAAGGAAUAAGGAUGGCCUCCAGAAAUACACGGUCAGAAGGGUAAGAAAAGUGUGCUGUCUGUUUGGUUAGAAAAGAAGGAGGAUUGCAAGUAUGUGUUCACAUAAACAACAACAGAGGGAUAAAGCCAAAACUCAUGAAAAACCGUGAUCUCUAAGGAAGCAAAAUGAUGGCAAUUUGAACGAGGGGGAAGGCAGACAUGGAAGCUAAACUUCUCUGCUUGUAUAUUUUUUUAUAACUUUGACUUUUAGCCACGUAGAUAUUUUGCAGUAUUAAAAAACCAAAUCAUCUUUAGAAAAGGCAACGCCUAUCCAUCAAACACAAACUGAGGCAAAUGAAACCAACAGCGUAUCAAGUGGAUUUCAUAAUCACAUGGAGAAGCAUUUCAAGUGACUUUAAAACCCAGGCUUUUGACUGAAGAACCCCAGUGGGAUAGAACCUAUGGCCACAAAGACAUCUUAAACCUUAUUUCUCAGUCUUCCUAGUUAUUCCACAGGACAAAUGACCCAGUUUCACCAACAAAUAACACGGAUAAAAAUGAAAAGGAAGACAUUCUCCUCCAGACUAGAAAAGACUUAAGACACCUACAGCCAAAUGCAACCGUGAACAGAGAGUUUUGAAAUAAUCAAAGCAAACUGAACUCUAGUAUUAGGUGAGAUUAAGAAUUAUUAUCAGUUUUAUUGAGUGUGAUAAUAAUAAAGUGGUUGUGGGUUUUUUAACCCUUUUUCAAAGAUUUGUUUUCUCCCUUAUGUAUAUAGAUUUUUUCUAAAGUGUGGCUUCAAGUAAGUUUCCCAGGAACUAAGUGGUACCAUCUAGAGCUCCAGGGAGACAUUCCUAGGACACUGAGUCAUAUGUCAAACACCUAAGUCAAUGGUGAACUUUUCAGAAGGUGCAAGUGAGAAUUGGAGCCUAAAAGGGAAUGACCUUAAAACAUAUAUUCUGUUGGAUCAAGUUGAUUAAAGUGGAAACAACUUUUUGGCAUGUGUAAAUCAAACCAUUCAAGGCAGAGAACACAGACUCUAGAACCAGGCUGCAGGUUCCAACUCCAGUUCUGUCACUUCCUCCUCUAUGGCCUUGGGGCCAGUUACUUAACCUCCCUGUUCCUCAGUUUCCCUAUCUACAUAAGGGGGGUGAUAAUAAUACCUACCUCAUAAGGUGGUUGUAAGGACUAAUUAAGUUAUGUACACAGGAAGUGCUUAGAACAGUAACUGGUACAUAUGAAGCACGAUAUGUUACUAAAUACAAUAAACCGUUUUUUAUUUAUUUCC